This 433-nucleotide ribosomal RNA is filed under the name uncultured bacterium. RNAcentral describes it as "partial 16S ribosomal RNA". It matches the Rfam family "Bacterial small subunit ribosomal RNA", at positions 29 to 507 of the family's 1533-position model. The record is from RNAcentral.
AACGAACGCUGGCGGCAUGCCUAACACAUGCAAGUCGAACGAGACCUUCGGGUCUAGUGGCGCACGGGUGCGUAACGCGUGGGAACCUGCCCUUAGGUUCGGAAUAACUCCCCGAAAGGGGUGCUAAUACCGGAUAAUGUCUUCGGACCAAAGAUUUAUCGCCUUUGGAUGGGCCCGCGUUGGAUUAGCUAGUUGGUAGGGUAAAAGCCUACCAAGGUGACGAUCCAUAGCUGGUCUGAGAGGAUGAUCAGCCACACUGGGACUGAGACACGGCCCAGACUCCUACGGGAGGCAGCAGUGGGGAAUAUUGGACAAUGGGCGAAGGCCUGAUCCAGCAAUGCCGCGUGAGUGAUGAAGGCCUUAGGGUUGUAAAGCUCUUUUACCCGGGAUGAUAAUGACAGUACCGGGAGAAUAAGCUCCGGCUAACUCCGUG